This 275-nucleotide long non-coding RNA is filed under the name Lathyrus oleraceus (garden pea). RNAcentral's name for it is "Pisum sativum (pea) long non-coding RNA (PSAT_LNC013198)". The record is from RNAcentral. Lineage: Eukaryota; Viridiplantae; Streptophyta; Magnoliopsida; Fabales; Fabaceae.
AAAGAAAAUGAUAAAAAGGGUGGAUAUAAUCUCAUUCAUACUUGUAUUGGUUCAUGAACCAAUUAGCCUUAGGAUAUUGAGACUUCAUUGGCCAAUGAUAGGAAUGGGAUAGAAAGGGAUUGAAGAUGAAGAGGGAAGGGAAAUGCGAUAAACACAAAUUGGUCAUGGGAGGAAUUUUGUCAAAUUAAGACCAUUCAUUCAUUUUGGGAGAUGAAAUGCAUAUUUCGUCAAUCCCCUAAAUCCAAUGAUUUUAAUCCAACAAAAGUCAAAUCAAC